AGAAGUAAUAUUCCGCAACGUAUCCUCAGCGGGCUUUGUUGCGGAUAGUUUCUUAUCAGAGUACUAGGAGUGAAUAGUGGCCCGUAUAGCAGGCAUUAACAUUCCUGAU
Vibrio aerogenes CECT 7868 is the source of this 109-nucleotide regulatory RNA element. It matches the Rfam family "Alpha operon ribosome binding site". From Rfam's summary of the family: The bacterial alpha operon ribosome binding site is surrounded by this complex pseudoknotted structure. Translation of the mRNA produces 4 ribosomal protein products, one of which (S4) acts as a translational repressor by binding to the nested pseudoknot region. NCBI's taxonomy places the organism in Bacteria, Pseudomonadati, Pseudomonadota, Gammaproteobacteria, Vibrionales, Vibrionaceae. The record is from Rfam.